AUGGGUAUUGCAGGGGCCACUAACGAGGUGGCGACCCUGAAGGAGGCGGUGUCCGCGACCGAACGUAAUGCGGCCGCGGAACGCUCCGAGCGAGAGAAGCAGGAGGCGCGGGUGGCGGAGGUACAUCAAGAGCUCCAGGAUCUCGUGGAAAAACAUGAGAGCCUGGAGCAUGACUCGAAGACUCAAGAGUCUGAGCUUGCAACGGCUCUUGAGAGUGCCAAAGCUGCUAAGGCCAAAGCCUACAAGGCCCUCCAAGAAAUCGAGGCGUUGAAGAAAAUAGCAGCGGGUAAGGCAUUUUUCAUGCAAAGUAAGCAUGUGAGUGUUAAUUACCUGUUGCUUACCCAAAUUCGUAGCUCUCCAGGAGCGUUCGCAGAUCUUCCUUGCAGCGUGUCCGAUGCUGCCGCGUUCUACCGGGCCGAGGAGGGGAGCUCGACGGAGAAGGUCUUCUGGUCUCCGUAUGCUGAGGCCGGACAUCCGGUGCCCCUUAGCGACCAGCUGAAGCAGCUGGUCGAGCUCCACAAGGCGGCCGAACAGGCCAUGAAGGGCCUCAUUGUUCGGCUAUGGCCAAAGGAGGCCAUGCCUGGGAGCUACUUCGGCCUGAUGCGGCGGCUGGUGGAUGCGUGUCCAUGGGUUGAAGUCAUCAAGAACUCCGCCUGUAUUGAAGGUGCCCGGCGGGCCCUUGCCCGUGCAAAGGUGCACUAG
Molecule: ribosomal RNA, 702 nt
Filed under: Triticum aestivum (bread wheat)
Lineage: Eukaryota; Viridiplantae; Streptophyta; Magnoliopsida; Poales; Poaceae
Description: partial small subunit ribosomal RNA
Source: RNAcentral